This 253-nucleotide ribosomal RNA is filed under the name uncultured Nitrincola sp. Its description in RNAcentral is "partial 16S ribosomal RNA". It matches the Rfam family "Bacterial small subunit ribosomal RNA", at positions 524 to 776 of the family's 1533-position model. Lineage: Bacteria; Pseudomonadati; Pseudomonadota; Gammaproteobacteria; Oceanospirillales; Oceanospirillaceae. The record is from RNAcentral.
UACAGAGGGUGCAAGCGUUAAUCGGAAUUACUGGGCGUAAAGGGCACGUAGGUGGUUUUCUAAGUCGUUUGUGAAAGCCUCGGGCUUAACCUGAGAAUGGCAGACGAUACUGGGGAGCUAGAGUACAGUAGAGGGGAGUGGAAUUUCCGGUGUAGCGGUGAAAUGCGUAGAGAUCGGAAGGAACACCAGUGGCGAAGGCGGCUUCCUGGACUGAUACUGACACUGAGGUGCGAAAGCGUGGGGAGCAAACAGG